UAACGACUGAACCAGCAAUUUGGAGGAAUGAACAUAUGUAAAACAUAUAUUAAUUUAUUUAAUUAAAGUUCUAGGUAGAUUAUUGAUAAUGACAACUAUCUAUCUAUAAGUCUUGACCAAAUCUUGUGCCAGCUGUCGCGGUAAGACGAGAAAGACUGCGCUAUUCAUCUUUAUUAGGUUUAAAGGGUACCUAGACGGUAUAGAAACUAAAGAAUAGUGAUGUACUAGAGUUGAUUAACGAGAGGGUAGAACUGAUAGUGUAGAGAUAAAAUUUAUUGAUACUAUUUAGGACUGGUAAUAGCGAAAGCAAUCCUUUAAGAUUAACUGACGUUGAGGGACGAAGGCCUGGGUAGCAAACAGGAUUAGAUACCCCAGUAGUCCUGGCAGAAAAUUAUGAAUGCCAUAAAUUCUUAGGGUUUAUAAAUGAAAGUGCAAGCAUUCCACCUCAAGAGUAAUGUGGCAACACAGAAAUUGAAAUCACUAGGCCGUUUCUGAAACCAGUAGUGAAGUAUGUUAUUUAAUUCGAUAAUCCUCGAAGAACCUUACCACAGCUUGAAUAUUUACUAUUAGGUAAUUACAAGUGUUGCACGGCUGUCUUAAGCUAAUGUCGUGAGAGAGA
RNAcentral lists this ribosomal RNA (619 nucleotides) under Collemopsidium sp. s1406. RNAcentral describes it as "SSU rRNA". It matches the Rfam family "Bacterial small subunit ribosomal RNA", at positions 377 to 1076 of the family's 1533-position model. RNAcentral also lists the same sequence under 1 other name. The record is from RNAcentral. Lineage: Eukaryota; Fungi; Ascomycota; Collemopsidiomycetes; Collemopsidiales; Xanthopyreniaceae.